This 2962-nucleotide long non-coding RNA is filed under the name Sus scrofa (pig). RNAcentral's name for it is "lncRNA (ENSSSCG00015063603.1)". The record is from RNAcentral. Lineage: Eukaryota; Metazoa; Chordata; Mammalia; Artiodactyla; Suidae.
GCCUUGCUCAGAGGGUUGAAGAUCCAGCAUUGCCAAAAGCUGUGGUGUAGGUUGGAGACAUGGCUCAGAUCCUGCAUUGCUGUGGUUGUGGUGUAGGCUGGCAGCUCCAGCUCCAAUUAGACCCCUAGCCAGAGACCUCCAUAUGAUGUGGGCAUGGUCCCAGAAAAGGCAAAAAGACAAAAAAAGAAAAAAAACAUCAGGCCGACAAAAGCCUGUAUACAGGGAACUUUCCACCAUUUCUCAGUGUGUUGAAGAAAAUUUUCUAGAUCAUGUUGAAUGUGGUAAUCAAAUUCUUGGGCUAUUCACUUCCAUUAUCUAAUUUAUAUUGGGGCCAGACCAUAAUGCAGAAGAAAAUGAGAUGCUCGGGCUUAAUAUCUGGGUGAACGCCCAGAGUUUAAAGGUUAUGAAGAAGAUGACAAAGAGGUAUAUCCCAUAGAGGGAGAGAAAAGGAGGCACCCACAGCAUUAAUUUGGGAGUGGAAAGGCUGGUCUAUGGAGCCUAUUAGCCCACCUUGGUGCUCUGAGAAACAUCCCACUAAGAGAGCCUAGGAUCUGAACUAGCAAGUCCACCCAGACAAUCAGAGGGGCAUCCCCCCCACAAAAGUGUCUGAGACAGAGGCUCUCCACCAAUUUGGAGACAUCUUUCCAGAGGAGGGGGAGAGCAACCAGACCCUGGGACUCAUGAGGACCUGGCUGACUGGACAUCUCAAUUUCGUGAGAGUAGGAUCAGUCUGGGUUGGAGGGGAGAGAAAAAUAAAAGAAGUGAGCUCCAAUAUUCACUCACUCUCCACUCUUCUUGAAAGGAAGGCCAGUGUGGAGUGUGUUGGGGUAGGUAAUCACUGGAAGGCACUUGAGACUACAGAACUUGACAGUCACAAAGAAGAGAGACUUUGACUCUUUUGAGUGGUAGUUACUGGGAGAAAGAGCUAAAGAAACCUUCAGAGCUCACCAGGGAGUAGCCCUGGCCUGAGUCUUCAAUUGUUCCAAUAACUUCACUCCCUUCACUGAAUGUCUCUUCAGUUAAGGGGAGAAAGUAGGAAAAGACUUUAAGAACAGAUGAGGUUUCUACCCCUUUGGGCUAAAAAUUAUUCACCACCAGGACCUAGAAGGACCUUCAGAACACCCCAGAGAGUAGCCCUGCCUGGUGUCUUCAAUUGUCCCUCCAAGCCUUGCAGUGGGCCUGGAAGCCUGGAAAUUAGAAAGGGAGAGCCAGGUAACCCUCCCAGGUUUUGGCACCAAAAUGUUAGGAAAAUCAAGAAGAGGCAGGGGUCCAGAGCACUGAGACUUUAAGUGAGUUUUAUUGACCAACAGACUGCCAGGAUCACUGAGAGAGAACUCAGGCUCCCCACCUCCACUUCUCAGGGAGCAGCUAAUUAUGCAGGAAAAGGGGUAGUUUCUAUUUUUAGCACAGGUUUGCUCUUGGGCUAAGUCAGUAUUCAAGGGUUGGGGGGAGGCAAUCUCCUUUGGAACAUGGGUAAUUGUUUUGUGUAAGGGGUAGAGGGAAAUUGUAAAAAAAAUCCCAUGAAAACUGGCUAUGUAAGUAUAACUGGUCUCCAAGGCAGCUCAUUGUUGGGGAAGGGAAUCAGCCUUCUAGAUUGUAAGUCUGAUUAGAAUUUUGGUGGUGCCUGCAAGUCAGGUCCAAUUCCCCACCUAAGAAACUUGACUGGCUAAGAGAGAGAUGGCUGGUAAAACAUUUCUAGGUGUAUCUCUGAGGGUGUUUCUGGAAGAGAUUAGCAUUUGAAAAGAGACUGAGUAAAGAGGAUUGUAUUCACCAAUGCAGGAGGGUAUUAUACCCUCCCCUGAGUGCUUAACAAGAACAACAAAGUGGAAAAAAGGCUAAAUUUGUUCUCCCUGCUGGAGCUGAGACAUCCCUUUUAUUCUGCCCUCACACAGGUGUUGCUACUAGUUCUCCAGUUUUAGUCUUAGACUAGGAUUUACACCAUCAGCAAGGUUUGAUUUCAGGCCUUUGGACCCAGAAUGAAUUACACCACCGGCUUUCCUGAUUUCUUUUUUAAAAACAUUUUUAUGGUUAUUUAAAUCCUAGUCAAUAAAUCACCAAUCUUUGUGUAAUAACUGGAUUUCCUUCUCUUUGGCUCAGUUUUGAACUACAUGAAACUCAGAGGGACACUGAAAUAGAGUCCACUUUGUUUUUUGAUUUUGUUUUUUUUUUUCAGGGCCACACCAGUGGCAUGUGGAUAUUCCCAGGCUAGGUAUCAAAUCAGAGCUACAGCUGCAGGCCCAGACACAGCAACAUGGGAUACAAGCUGCAUCCACAAGCCUCACGGCAAUGCCAGAUCCAUUCCACUGAGUGAGGCCAGUGAUCAAACUUGCCACCUCAUGGUUCCUAGUUGGAUUCAUUUCUGCUGUGCCAUGAUGGGAACUCCUACAGUCCACUUUCUUACACUCUAACCAUUUGUCAAAAUCCUGCCGCACUGUGCAUAUUUUGAUUUUUGAAGAAUGUGUUUCUUGGACAAUCUCUUUUUAAACUGAAAAUUCCUGAUUGAUAUUGUUUUCUCUUGUGGGAUGAAGAAAUAUAUGCCUUCCACAGCAAAUUCUUAAGAUAUUGAGAAUUACUCAUUCAACUUUCUGUGUAUAAUCCAGUCUCAUAUUCCCAAAAUUUACUCACCUAUUAAAUUAAUAUUGGCCAUGAAUUUGUACAUUUUUUGGUCUUGAAAAUUUCAGUGGACUUCCAUUUUUCUAAUGCAUUCUGUUUAUUCUGUUCCCAUCAUGAUUCUGUGGGUGAAGAACACAGUGUCAUUGAGGAUGUGUGUUCAAUCCCUGGCCUUGCUCAGUGAGUUAAGGAUCCAAUGUUUCAGCAAACUAUGGCGAGUUUGCUGAGGCAUCUCAGAUCUGGCAUUGAGGUGGCUGUGGUAUAGACUGACAACUGCAGCUCAAAUUCCACCUCAGGCCUGGGAACUUCCAUAUGCCACAGGUGUGACUGUAAAAAGAAAAGAAAAAAAAAA